UAGAGCUACCGCGGGAGCCCAUCGUUUGAUCAACGGGCUGAGAGGGUGCAACUGACAAUAGCGCCGACCGUCAACGAACCUGAACCGGAUCAUGCCGGCGUAGGGAAGGGACCAAUGAAUGCAA
This 124-nucleotide non-coding RNA is filed under the name Renibacterium salmoninarum. RNAcentral's name for it is "TPP sequence". It matches the Rfam family "TPP riboswitch aptamer (THI element)". Rfam says of the family: Vitamin B(1) in its active form thiamin pyrophosphate (TPP) is an essential coenzyme that is synthesised by coupling of pyrimidine and thiazole moieties in bacteria. The record is from RNAcentral. RNAcentral also lists the same sequence under 1 other name. Lineage: Bacteria; Bacillati; Actinomycetota; Actinomycetes; Micrococcales; Micrococcaceae.